GGGCGAAUGGCUUAGGGGCAAAGCGCCUCGUUUGCAGUAGGACUUCGGUCCUGAAUUAUUCGAGGAGAUCCCGGGUUCAAAUCCCGGUUUGUCCA
Tilletiopsis washingtonensis is the source of this 95-nucleotide non-coding RNA. The record is from the annotation of a RefSeq genome assembly. Lineage: Eukaryota; Fungi; Basidiomycota; Exobasidiomycetes; Entylomatales.